Molecule: long non-coding RNA, 751 nt
Organism: Drosophila busckii
Lineage: Eukaryota; Metazoa; Arthropoda; Insecta; Diptera; Drosophilidae
Exons: 3
Source: RefSeq, a predicted model, not a curated record
UUAUUGUUUAAGUGAUUUACAUGUGCUGAUUGCGCCAGGCCGCUUAAACAGGAUUAUAAUAUUAACUAGCCUGUGCAUCUCCGGCAGCUCUGCCACAAGGUUGAGCGUCGUCGUCGUCGUUGAGUGUCGCCAGCUCGUCGUUGUUGUCGGAAGUGGCACGGCAGUCAAUUACAGCCACUGGCAGAGAUUCGACGAGCGAGAGAAAUGCUGCCAAGCGGCGAUUUCAAAAUUGAAUAUGCCCAGCGUCGGUCUGCCGCUGUCCCCCCGGCCACCGUCUGCUCCGCCGCCACUGUCACGUACCUUUGGCUUCUCGUUUUAGCGACAAACACACACAAAACUCUUGCAGCGCUCCGCUUGGGGCGACACAAAUUCACGGUGAUUUAGCAGUCAGUAACAGCAUUCAGAACAUUUUUGCCCCCCAAAAAAAAAAUGGUCUGCCCCCUCCCGAUCCGACCGCACGCUCGAGCAGCCCCAGCCACUGUGGAUUGCAUUCUCAGCCUCAGCCUCAGCCAAUGUGUGUGGCUGUGUUUUGGGGCUAGUGCAUGCUUCAAGCGUUUUACUGGCUCAGAGAAAUCCAUUAAAUUAUUCAGAUUGCAUAGCGAAAAACACUUUUUGGUAAGACGGCGACAACAACAACAGCAGAAACGGAAGCUGCACAGUGGCAUAAAAACUUAAGCUGAUUGAACUACAUACGGAAUAUAUUCAAUAAUAAGAAUAUAUUCGAUAAUAAUACAACUCGUGUGCAUUUCAG